Non-coding RNA from Sus scrofa (pig), 26330 nucleotides. The record is from RefSeq and is a predicted model, not a curated record. Lineage: Eukaryota; Metazoa; Chordata; Mammalia; Artiodactyla; Suidae.
UUUUUUUUUUUUUUUUUAGUAUGUUUACAGAGUUAUGCAACCAUCGCCACUGUGUAAUUCCAAACCAUUUUUAUCACUCCUAAAAGAAACCCCUGGGCACUCAGUCCCCAUUACCUGCAUUUGCCCAGCCUGGCAGCCACCAGACUGCUUUUGGUCCCUAUGAUUUGCCUGUUCUGGCCAUUUCACAUGAGUGGGGUCGUGUAGUGUGUGACCUCUCUGACCUCCAUGUCAUGCUCCAAGAAUGAGCCUCUGUCCAUUUCUCUGUGCACGUCUGCCUACCACAGACACAAGAGUCAUCAGAACCUGGAAAGUUCCUAUCACAGGGCAUUUUUCUCUCCUAAUCCAGGCUGUAGUGCCCUGGUGGUGAUGGGAGAUGCCAUCAGAUUUUGCUGUAAGCGUUGGUGGGUUUCACGUGCCUCUCUAGUUGGAGUCAAUUCACAAGGCCACUCCUCGGUGUGGUGAAAUGUAUCAAGGAUGGUCCCAGUCUCUCAGAGCUCCUUAGCAUGGUAUCGUUUUGGUGAAAAGCAGUGUUAGCUUUGGAAAUAAAGGAACAAGGGCUGGGCAUCUCCUAUUCCUUGUGCAGAAUUCAGCACUGCCUGGACAUCAACAUUAGUCUUGUCUGUGCCAUGUGCUUUGGUUCUUGGUCCAAAUAAUUUGCCACAAUCCUUGACCAGCUUGGUUUUGGCCAUGUCCAUGAGGGCCGAGGGGAUUCCUUGAGGUCCAUAUGGUUGCUGGUUGAGCCACUAGCAAAUAAAGUGGCCUUGAUACUUAGCAUGGUCUGUGGGGAGGGGAGGCACCAUGGUGAUGACCUUUGACAAUAAAUAGACCUUUGGAACUAGACUGUGGCCUCCAGAUGCAGGAGCGGCUUCAUCCUGGGGCUGGUGGGAAUGAGCUACCAAUAGAUACUUUGGUUCCUGGAUUAUGAAGCAGGUGCAAUUGUGUACUCCAAGGGUUUAAAGGUUAUAGGAUCCAAGUUUAAGGUGAUGGCAUUAUUUGUGCUUGAUUGACCCAGUCACAGGGAACUGUUUCCUCAUCCAUGUCACCAGACAGUUAUGGAGUGUAUAUCACCUACCAGUCAACAGCACAUAUUUGACUUUGGCCAUAGGUUUAAUUGUAGCUGCUUUGAUGAAAUUUGGGAGAGGGUCCUUUCUUUUCACCCGUGUAGCCUUGGUUGGGAAGCAGAUCAUGAUGGUCGUGGUGUCGGGGGAUGGGAACAUGUUGGUGUAGCCGUGGGACCCUUCACAUGUGGCUUGGUGACCCUCGCUGUCAUGUCCUUGCCUCUCAGAGGUGUGAAGCUCAGGUGAGAUCCCGUUUCUGGAUGUAUUUUGGAACGGCGGGGAGGGCUGGCCACAAAAUCCACAGGGUCAGACCCUCCUGUGCAUGAAGGGCCAGGACGAAGUCUCUCCUUUGCCUGGCAAGUAAGAAAAUUGCCUUUGCUCAGCGGGAGGGACCUUUAACCAUCUCAGUUUGGGAAGAGUCAUUAAGUGCCCAUUAGGUGGCUGUCACUGUGUUAGGCAGCUUAACAAGAGGUUUUCUGCCCUGUAGCGGGAGUCAGGCAGAGUGACGGAGUGGACGGGGUGUAGGGACCAGAACAUAGGCCCUUGGUGCAUACUUUGGUUCUUGGUCUAAACCUAGAACAAGGGGUGUGUGUGUGUGUGGGGGUGUGUGUGUGUGUGUGUGUGGGUGUGGGUGUGUGUGGGUGUGUGUAUCGUAGUAACUUCUUUCUGUAUCCUAAUGCCUAAGAGGGCGUUUGUCAGGACCAAGUGAGGAAAUGUGCAUAAAGUACUUGGCAAUGCUCCAUAAAUCCUACCAACUGUGCCUCCUUUUCCUUUUGAUUCAUCUGUUACUCUCACUUCACAGGUGGGGAGACCCUGGGCCACUCUUCAUGUCAUGUAACAAUGCCAUGAGGGCCUUGUCCCCUCUGUCCACAUACCUCUGGGAGUGGGGAGCUUACUACACCCCCUGCCCCCCAGGUGUCGUGUUCCACUUUGGAAUAGCUGUACAUGACUCUUGGAAUAUGUCCAGGUGGAUGGUGAGGCCCGCUUCCCAAAAAGUACAGGCGUGGGGUGAUUUUUCAUGCCGUGGAGAUGGGCUGGCUGUCCACUUGGCCUUGGCCUAAUAUCCCCUUCAUACAGAUGAAGGAAGGCCCAUGGCAUUUUAAGGACUGGUAAGCCUUUGGGAUGGAGGUGGAGGAGCUUAGCUUAGGGAGUCAUAGGGUCAAGGAUAGAAGGCGGCCAUCAGGAGAGCCCAGGAGCUGAGGUAGGAUGUCAUCAUGCCCAGGGUCACAGGCCUUGUUGCACCUGACCGUGAAAGUCAUCGUUGGGUUGGGUUGGGUGUCCAGGGCUAUACAGUCCUCUGUUAAAACACACUAAGUAGGACACUACCAUGUGAUGAUCUCUUUAUUUGCUGAAAAAGCCUUUGGUAUAAUCCACUUUGCACUUCAGGAGUAAACAUCUCUAACUCGGCACAGAGGGGAGCUUUCUUAAUUUGGUGACUUAAUUCAUAGAAUCUCUAGCCAGUGUUGUUAUUCUUAAUAGAUGAGCAUGGGAUACAUUCCCCUUAAGUUAAGAAUAAGACAGGGAUGCCCCUGUUACCUCUCUUGUUCAGCAUUGAACUGUAGUUCCAAACCGGUGCAGUAAGACGAGAGAAUGAAGAGAGAGACAUGAGCAAUGGACAGGAGGAGAUGGCAGGGUCAUUGUUUGCUGGUGAUCUGACCGUCUGGCUAGAGGAAAUCCUAGAUUCUGAAUCUAUAACAUGUGAGAAGCAAUGGAGGAGGCCGAAGGUCAAGUACAAAAAUGCAUGGCUUUCUAAUAGACCAAUGACAGAUAACUGCAAAACGAAGUUGAGAAAACCAGGGCUCUGUGUGGUGAGGGGUUUUGACAUUGUCCACCUGGCAUCCAUGGUGGUGAUUGUCCACUUGUAUGUUUACAGUGUGAUAAAGGACAGAUAUCUUUUUUCUUUUUUUCUUUUUCCACCACCCAAAGCAUAUGGAAGUUCCUGAACCAGGGAUUGAAUCCAAGCCUGAGCUGCGACCUCCACCACAGCUGUGGCCAUGCCGGAUCCUUUACCCACUGUCCCGGGCUGGGGAGCCAACCCGCACCGCUGAAAAGACAACACUGGAUCUUUAACCUGCUGUGCCUCAGGGGGAGCUCCAAGGACAGAUAUCUUUAUUUUGAUUUUCACAGAGCAGGAAGCUUUGGCUCAGAGAGGUCAAAGUGACCUUGCUGAAGGUCACACUGUGCACGGGAGGCAGAAGUGGGACCAGGUCUCCAGGGUAGAACAGUGCUCCUUUCUCGUGGCUACUCUCCACUGCCCUCUUCAGACCUCACCGUCCCGACCAGGUGGUCUCGUCCUCUGUCACCCAUCUCCAGUAGAGGCGAGCUGGUGGGAGCGAUGGUUUGGAAGCACUUCUAUCUGGGUUAGAAUGUUCUUCUUUGCUUCCUUUAUGAGCAACAGCUUGUCCUUUCUAAUUCUCUUGUGUGUGAGAUGCUGGGUGGGGUUAGCUUUCUUCUGAGGGUACCUGGCCUGAGCUGGGAGGAGGGAGGGGAGAGGCAAGGGUUGUUGGGUGUGCUCUGGUUCUCUCCCACCCCUUCCUCUUAGUCUGAUUCACAUUUUUGCCUCUUUAUUUUGUUAAAUGCCUCUUCAACAAUUAUAACAAUAACGUACUUCACUGCAACUUGUGGAAUAAUAACACAGAAGAAAAGGUGGUCUUAUUUCUUCUUUGACAGCUGUCUGCUGCCCCACACAUCUCUCCUGCAGCUUCACCGAACCGGUGAUGAGAGCCUCGUAUAGAUUUUCCCAGUCAUUUCUCCAGGUACUAACAGGUUUUCCAUUGGUUUAGUGGGAAUCAUGCUGGAUGAUGGAGAUACUGCAGUGAGCAAGAGACAAAAAUCCCUGCCUGGACAGUUCCUUUGUGGCUCAGUGGUAACGAACCCAACUAGAGUCCAUGAGGUUGCAGGUUGGAUCCCUGACCUUGCUCAGGGGGUUCAGGAUCCAGCAUUGCUGUGAGCUGUGGUGUACUUUGCAGACAUGGCUUGGAUCUGGUGCUGCUGUGGCUGUGGCAUAGGCCAGCAGCUGCAGCUCCAAUUUGACCUCUAGCCUGGGCAUUUCUGUAUGCAGUGGGUAUGGCCCUAAAAAGAUAAGGAAAAAAAAAAAAAAUCCCUGCCCUCAUGGAGCUUACCAUCUAGAAGGUGGGAAUAUCUAAUAGUGAAGUGUCUAAAGGCCCAGCCAAUGACAAAUUCUAUGGAGAAAAAAUAAAGCAGGAAAAAGUCCCCCACUCCUCUUUUGUCACUUGGGAUGAGGGGGUCAGGCUAGAAUUUACUGAGAAGGCAGUUUUUAUAAGAGACCUAAAGGAUGUGUAGGAGACUGGAAGAUCUCUGGGGAGGAGCAUCGAGGCUGAGGGUGAGUGCGAAGGCCCUGUGGUAGGAUUGUGCUGUGUCAGUGGGAGCAGAGUUGUGACAGGAAGGAGGUAGGCAGUGAAGUUAAGGGGUGUUGGGGGGGUGGGGAGGAGAGGAAUCAGGGGACAGAAAGAUUGUGCAGGGCCUUAUGUGCAAAAAGGGCAUCUGAUCACACUUUUCCCUCAUAACUUGCUUUUCUUAUUUAAUAAUGUCUCAUAGACAUCCCUCCAGGUCCACAGAAUAAAGAUCUCAUUUUUAAAAACAAUUGAUGGCAUUCCCGUCGUGGCUCAGUGGUUAACGAAUCCGACUAGGAACCAUAAGGUUGCGGGUUCGAUCCCUGGCCUUGCUCAGUGGGUUAAGGAUCCGGUGUUGCCGUGAGCUGUGGUGUAGGUUGAAGACGCGCUCGGAUCCAGCAUUGCUGUGGCUGUGGUGUAGGCCAGCGGCUACAGCUCCAAUUAGACCCCUAGCCUGGGAACCUCCAUAUGCCACAGAACAACCCUAGAAAGGCAAAAAGACAAAAAAAGACAAAAAAAAAAAAAACUGUCAAAUAUUCAUGUGCCAUAAUUGAUUUAGCCAGUAUCUUUAAAAUUUUUUAUUAAUGUUAAUUUUUUAAAAUGUUAUCUUAUUUUUUAUUGAGGUGUAGUUGAUUGAUGAUAUAUUAGAUUCAGGCGUACAACAUAGUGAUUCAAAACUUUUGUUGCUGAUACUCCAUUUAAAUUUAUUAUAAAUUGUUGGCUACAUUCCCUGUGCUGUACAGUAUAUCCUUGUAGCUAAUUUAUUUUAUACCCAGUAUUUUGUAAUUCCCCUCCCCCGUCUCGCCCUCCUCCUAAUUUACCCCUCCCCCUCUUUUGUCCCUCCCCCCUUCCCUCUCCCUGCUGUUGGCAGUUCUCUUCUGAUGAAUUUUCAGGUUGUUUCUUUCCUGUUAGGGCGGUGCUGUAAUAUUCUUGUACAUGUUGCUUUCCCUUCUGAUACUUUUAUCACUCUACAUGUUGGAGUGUGGGAUUUCUAGGUCAGGGGGCACAUGUACAUUUAACUUUAAUAGAUAGUGUUAGAUUUCUCUCCAUUCAGGUUGUGGCUGCCUUCUCCGACCGAACUGUGCCUAAGUCUCAGACGGCUGGCUUUGUAUGCAAAUCACUAAAUAGCUAGGCUGAAAAGAGGAGAAAUCACACCUACAAAAAAAGGACAGCUCCGGAAUCCUUCCUCUGGUGGGAAGGUGUGUGGCCUUUUGGAGUGCGCUGCUGGGAACACUGUCAUUUGCUCUUUUGGGGAGCUUGUAUUUGAUGGUUGUGACGUCAAGAUACAAAGAAGAUGGAAACACAGCUGUUGCUGUGUUGUUUGCAUUAUGGCUUAUUUUCCACAUCCUGAAAAUAAGCACCAAAGUGAGGAGCAGCACGGACUGAGAUUCACACCUUGUCAGAUACCAGCCCACGUUCCCGUAGCGUCUUGAGGACAAGGCUUCAUCCUCGUGUCCCAUCUUGAGUGCUGGUAGAGCGGUGGUGGGCGUAUGCUUGCUUGCCCCCCAUCCCCUCCCCCAUCCCCCUUGACGUUCUCACUGGGAUCUGGGAUCUUGUAAUCUUUGAGGCCAACUUGUCAUCUGGUUUAUAGCCUUAUGUACUUGGGUGAUUUGUACUGUUGGACGUGUAGGCCUGUUUCCUUUCUAUUGCAAUUCAAACAAAGAAUAAUUCUGUGUAUGUUUUUUUGGCACCUGUCUCAGGAUACCUGUUGGGUAGGUUUCUGGAACCAGAACCUCUGAAUCGAAAGGGAUUUGCCACUUACGUGUUGAUAGAUGUUAUGAAAUUGACUUUCGUCUGAAGAGGGACAGUGUCCCCAUCCACUGGCCCUGCAGGAGAGGCCCUUCUCCCCAAGCCAUCUGCCGCACAGGGUCUUGUCACGUGUCUUGAUUUUUGGCCCAUCUGAUGGGUCAGAUGUUGUCUCUCACUGCUUUUUAUUUUGUAUCUUUAUUUUGUAUCUAUGUCUCAGGAGUCAGGACAAACACCUUAUCAGAUGGCAAAGAACUCUUUGUUUCUUAUUUGUCUUUUAGAUGCUUUGCUCCUUUUUAUUUUCCUGGUGGACUAUUUUUAUUUCCCCCCGGCCCCUUCCAGCAUGGUGUGUCCACAUUAUAAGGACAUUCGACACUGUGAUUAGAUAACUAGUCUGUCUAACUAGUUAGAGGUUGAUCCACGUCACCUUUAUUGCCGGGAGUGAAAAUCUAGGCUUUGGAGAAAAGGAAGUAUGUCUCAACAACAAAGUUGAUCACGGUUGCAUUUGGACAAGUGUGUUGUACUGACUGUUCCUGGAACGGCUUAAAUUGCAGCCAUAACAGAGAACUGUUGGACUCUGGUGUCCAUCAGCCUGGCAACAUCUUUUAUACAGUCUCAUUUUUAUCCCAUCACGGGUUUGAGGGAAUAUGAGGAAACUUGGCUGUUUGCUACUAUAGUUUUUUUUCCUCCACUUGCUUGAAUUUACAACUAACUCUGUUGCUGGGCUAGCGCCCUCCACUAGUCCAGAUGGCGUGCUAUGCAAACGAUCCUCAAUUUCAGUAACUUAACACAAUCAAGGGCGUUUCCCACCUCCAUGGCAUUUAUUGUUAACACGUACAUGGGUGUUCCUGGUGGGGCAGCCCUCCAAAAGCAUCUGGUCACAGAUCCAGGCUCCUUCCGCCUGUGGCUGUCCUGUUCUAGGCCACCUCUGGGUCCCCAGCUGCCAGAGGGGACAACAGAGAAGAGGAUGGUGAGAGGGAAGGUCUCAUGGACCAGAUGCUCUGCCCGCACUCCACUGGCCAGAACUCAGUCUUGUCUCCCGACUAACUGGAGGGAGGCUGGACAGUGGAGGCCAGCGCCUGUCCCACCCAGGUGGUUGAUCCUGACUCCAGGUGCCUGGUGUGCCCUGAUAUCUGGGCGCCACGUAGACUUGUAAGUUUCCUAAGUGUCUUCUCAGGUGUGAUCACACUCUGUUCUUAGAUGGCUGUGCAAAGGAGAGGUAAGGUGAAUGUUUUUAACCCCUAUUUGGAACCAAGGAGGUAGGCCCAGGGAGGUAAAUAUCCUAUGCAGGGUGAGGCACUUAGGUUUGGACGGGUGCGGAGAGAGUGGGCUCGAGGACAAAGCUUCCAUCUGCCUGGCCCUUUCUGACAUGACAUAGAGCAUCAUCCAUUCCAGGCAGGCCUGGGCCAGCCUCUGUGCAUAGGAGAACGGGCCUUGGGGUAAGAAGACAGUGGAGGCUGGCCUGGUGCAUCCUCCACCCUGGUGUGUGGCAAGAAGGCAAGGUGUCUUUUCCCCUCUGAACAUACCAGCCACACAGUGAGGGGGACAGCACUGCUGCUGGUGAGAAGGCUUGGCCAGAACUGCAGUGAACCCGGCACCAGCAUGGGAGCCGUCCCUCACCUUGGCCCAUCGCCCCUUUCUCCCUGUUGGCCUGGGAUGGUAUCACGGAAAUUGGGGCUUUCUUCUUCUCACUCCCGUUUCCCUUUAUUUAAUUAUUUUGAAACAUCUGCUGCUGCAGUGAGAUCAGCAUGUGAGCCGUGAUAUCUCGUCUGUUCUAUUUCGAGCAGCAGGGAACCAAAUGUGGGAUGGUGCUGUCACCUCCUCUCUGGGUAAGGACUGUGUCUCCAAGAACCCACUGGGCCGACUGAGCCAAGUGGCUUUGGGCACACUCGGGAUAUUUUCUUCUCCAGGGUGGAUGCCUGGGUUUCUUUGUAGGGUGAGUGCCUUGAACCAACCUGGUCAAAGCUUGUGGGGAAGCCUGACAGAAUCCUAAGUGGAUGCAUGGAUGGUCAAGGUUGCAAAGACAGCACCAAGCUGCAGAAGGAAGACAAGGCAGGGCUCAGAGGGACAUGUGAGUCCAUCUUGAGGCUUAAUUAAUUAUGCGUAUAAGGCUGGACCAACUGCUGCAACAAGUAAGUGCAGGGCUUGACACUGUCACUCCUAGUUGAAUGGCCAUUGAACUUGAUGUUCUCAUCUGUGCCAAAGAAAUAAUAGCUUCCUCAUCGUUCUCAUCACUCUCUGGGUUCCUAUGAGGAUCACGCGGGAUAAUGUGUAUAAAAGUGCUUUGUAAAUGGAAAAGCAUGCUGCAAUAUAAGGUAUUAUAUUAAUAGUAACAACUGUCGUUUCUGAUCCCGAUGAUUCAUUUGGGGUCGGAGCUCUCAGCGCUGCUACCGUUACUGCCCCACGUCGUGCUUCAAAGCUGCAAUUACCAUGUGCAGUUUCAUUUGAUACUUAAUGAUCAUGGAAUGUUAGUGCUGGAAAGAAUCUUGGAGGUGAACUAAUCCAGCCUAGUCACUUGGUAUGUGGUGAGACACCCAUGGAGAGGGGAGGCUGGAUCUGAGGUUCCCUGGGGCCUGAGACUUUAGCCCUUCAGUGCUCCAGAGUGGGCUGUUUGACUUUUUGGAUUAGGAUGCCCUGUGCUUUCUGAAAAGUCUAGAGACCAGGAAGUUUGGGUGGGACACUUACCCUUAGUCAUUAGGUGGAGUUGCCACUCUGACUCACGUCUGCUUGCUCACGCCGACCCCACUCGGAGCUCCACUGCUUGAGGUUCUGGGCAGAUUUGGACAGUGCUCAGGGGUAGGUCAGAUGUUCAGAGGGUUGGGCAUAGGGUCCAGGAAAGAAGGGAGUGGGAACUGAAGUGUGCGGCCAACAAGGAAAGGAGACCAGAGCAAUUUCAGAACAAAGCAGGCCGAGCUACCUCUAUUUCUGACCUCGGUCCUUGUCAGACCCACCCUCCUUGGACUCUCUUGAUCUGUCCAAGACGCCAGCCACCAGGACACUCUCAGAAGGUACAGCUAGAGGACAGGGGGGGGGCCCCUUCUGUAGAGAAGACUGAGGGAACCAGAGAUGCUUUAAGAUUCAGAGGGCAGUCAGGCUUACUCUAGAUAGAAGAGUAAGGACCACUGGGAGGACGUUCUGGCAAAACUGACUCUGGCCUUCUGUUCACUUUUCAUUCAUGCUGUGAUUGAACCCUUUACUGCCUCCAGGUCUUGCUUAUGUGUCCCCUUAUAGAUGAGGCCUAGGAACCCCUCUAUUUCAACAUGCGCUUGCACCCCCCACACUUUGACUACUCUGUCUGAACUGGAUUCACCAUCCUAAACAUACUGAAGAAUUGCUCGUUAGCAUGGAGAGUGUCUGUCUACCCUCCACCCAACUUCCCCUGACAUUCACAUCUGAAUAACCAUACAGUGGAGCAAAGCUGGAGCCCAAGCAUUGAACAUUGGUGUGAAGCUGCUCCCUAAACCAUAGCGCUCUGUUGAAGGUCACUGGUUUUUCUACUCACGCCUUUUUCCUUUGCAGAGUCUAAUCCAGGAUCCCACCUGUCACAUCUCCUUAGUCUCCUCCAACCUGUGACAAGACUUUGUCUUUCGUGACUUAGACAUUGGGAAGAGCCCUGCUUGGUUAUUCGGGUAGAACGUCCCCCAAUUUGGGUUUGUCUGGUGUUUUCUUAUGUUUAAUAUAUCAUGAUUUUAUUUACUCUUUAUUGGGUCUCUCCCUGAACUGGAUGGUCAGCUCCCCCUGAAUAAGCUUUCUGGUCACUGAUGUACCCCAGCCCCCAGUGGAGCUCCUGGCCCAUGUGUUUCGUUGAUACUUGCUGAGUGACGGAGGAGGUGGUGAACUCCCCAGCAUCAGCUGAGCAUCUGACCGGGAGUGAGAGAAACCCAGUGCAGCUGGGUGCUGGCAGAGCCUUGGUGGGCGAAUGGGUUGGCUGGGCCUUGAGGCCUCUUUCAGCAUUCAGAUUCUGUGAUUUAUAAUCUGAUGGUGAUGUGUGGGUUCAAGUUCACUGAAUUCCACAGGUGUGAGCUGGCCAUGUGCUGGCUGUGGAACCCUGUGUUGGGCACCUAGGAUCCACACCCUAAAGUGAAUUUAUAUGCCUUGUGGGCCAAGGACCCAGGGAAAUGCAUGAGAGGGGCCCUUGGUGAUGCUGCAGGCAGCUGGUGGUCUAGAGCCUGGACUUUACGUCAGUGGUUCCCAAGGUCCAGCCUGCUUCAGAAUCACCCAGAAGACUCUGUUAAAACUCAAAUGGCUGGGUCUCACCCCCAGAGGUUUUAGUUUGCUUGGUCUUGGGGGGGGGCCUGAGAACUUGCAUUUCUGACAGGUCCCCAGGUGAUGCUAUUGUUGCUGGUCCAGGGAAACCCCCGCUUUGAGAACCACUGCUCUAGAUGUUCAGAGGAUAAAUAGAUCACUGCCAACGAGCAGGAACCAGGAAGGCUUCAUGGAGGAGGAGGUCAGGUUUGAGUGGGUGGGAUUUAUACCUGUGAGAGUGGGGCUUGAGUCACACAUAGCUGCCACAUGCAGUCUGCAGGUGCCUUUUGUCUGCCUUUGCCCUGUUGGCCUCUGGCCUCAUCGUGGCCUUGCCUGGCCUUCUCGGUACCAUGAGCAGUCUUGGCCGGGGCAGUCUAAGCCCCCAGAAGGGGAGUCUGACUAAGCCUUUGACAAGAGUUGACCUUGGCUGGCUUGGAUGGAGUCACUCUGAGGCCUGGACACAGCCCGUAUUGCACAGGCUGUCUGGAUGUGUUUAUUUGCCUGGGCCGUGCCCGCUGCCUCCUGGCACUGUUGGAGGUGUUGCUGUUGGGCUCCAAGGCUCUAUUUCUGUUUUCCCGUCUGGCACCAGCUCAGCGGAGGCAGAUGAGGUGUGUGGCCACCCUUGCUUUCUUCCUGGCUCCAUGUUCUUCUUGAGGCUGGUACUUGAUCAGGUAGAACAUUUUAAUCUCACUAGAUUUUCUGUUCUGGAAGCAGACGGCUUCUUUCUGGGGGAAGAGAGAUGCUGAAGGAGGAAGAAAGCUUUUAGGGAGGCAAAUAAUUAAAUUAUGUUUGGAUUUAACACACAGUGAUGGUAAGAAUGUUUACAUACACGUGUGUGUGUGGGGGGGGUUGUUUGUUUGUCUUUUGUCUUUUCUAGGGCUGCAGCCGUGACAUAUGGAGGUUCCCAGGCUAGGGGUCUAAUCAGAGCUAUCGCCUCUGGCCUACAUCAGAGCCACAGCAACGCCAGAUCUGAGCCGUGUCUGUGAUCUACACCACAGCUCACGGCAACGCUGGAUCCUUAACCCAUCGAGCGAGGCCAGGGAUGGAACCCGAAACCUCAUGGUUCCUCAGUCAGAUUUGUUUCUGCUGUGCCACAACGGGAACUACAACAUGUGUGUGUUUGAAGUUCCAGAAUCACUUAGGGAUUUUAAUUCCUUUAAGUGACAUUCAGAAAUUGAUGUUAGAGGUGACAGCAAGCAUCAGGAAGCUUGGGAGAGGCCAUAUCGCUUGUGCAGUCGGAGCCCGCUGGGCAGGAAGGCGGUGUGUCAUCCAAAUCACAGAACCACAGUUGGGACAAGAGGAACCUCAGGGUGCUUCUGGUCCUACCCCAUCGUUUUAAUCAGGACCUCACAAGGCUAAUGCCGCUCAAAUGUUACCUCCUCAACUAUCCCUGGGCAGACCAAACAGCUCCCUCUUUCCUCUGUGCACCAAAGUUGCUUUAUAACAGACCUCUCUUGUGAGUAGUCAUGUGUGGGAUCAGGGAUCAGCAAGUGACAGCCUGCAAGUCCACUGCCUGUUUUGGUCAGUAAAGUUUUAUUGAAACACAGGUGUGCCCAUUUGUUCCUUGACACUGUAGUGGCAGAGGUGAGUAGUUGCUGCAGAGACUCAGUAGCUUGCACAGCCCAAAGCAGACUAUCUGGCCCUUUAUAGAGAACGUUUGCCAGCUCUGACACUAGAAAGUGAAGGCAGGACUGGAGUUUCAUUGACCUUGGGGUCUUCCAUGCCUCGCUCAUGGUAGACACUCAAUGAAUAUAUGUUGACUGGGCUUGAAAGGCAGUGGAUCCCUUUGUCAAAGGCUGAGUGUGCAGUGCUGGAGACACCACCAGGCUGUCCUGGCUUCCCAAGCUUUCACUCUGUCGGACCAGUCUGUGCCCCAGUUUUUUCUCUGUGGAAAAAAGAUAAUAUUGUUUUCCUUGCUGAGUUCAUCAAUUUAUAGUGAGUAUAGAGCAGGAUAUAGAAAUCUUACUAGAACCAUGGGUCUUGCCCCUGGUCUCUCUGACGAGUCUGCCCUCGCUCAGCACUGGAUUUCUCUUUCUUAAAGUCUUGCUCCCCUGGUACCACCGUCUCAGCAGCUCCCUUUGCUUAUAGGCUAAAGGACGCACUGGGCCUUUCAUUCAUGACCCUCCUUAUUUUGGCCCUGACCUACCUGCCUGUCUUGAUCUGUCAUUCCUCCAGUGCUGUCUGGUGCAUGUUGAUUGCACCUUUGCUUGAGACCCUGUCCCCCUCUUCCUGCUUCUCUGCUCUCUGCUCUUGCAGGUCCCCCUUGUGCUGGCCCUGCUGGCAUCCUUGACCUGGACCAGCAUGAAUGACUCUCAUUUGCUACCUGGUGGAGUAUCUUUCAUUGCCAUUUUUUAAUCCUUGUGGACGAUUGUUAAAAAAACAGAAGCCCAUACCCCACACCCAUGGAGGUCAAUCUCUAAGGGUGGGAUCCAGGCCUCUGUUUUUAAUGAGCUCCUAGUAUGAUUAUGAUGGUGACCACAGUCUGAGGACCACUGAGUGAACAGUGAGUACUUUCCAGUAGCAUUUAUCUCGUUGUUGGGAUCUUUGUUGUCUCUUCAAGGAAGCUGGAAACAUCUUGAGGGCAGAGCUGGGUCUUAUUUUUUUCAGAGCAGUAUAUUUAUAGGAAGAUUGGAGCUGGGAGAUUUGUUCAUGAGAUUAUCUCCUGCAUCAGGCCCUCUGUCAGGGAGACGCUCUGUAAAUGUUUGCUUGUUGAUCGAUACAAGGUAUGAAAGUGCUCGGGAAAGCAAAACAGGCUCUGCAGCGCGGAGAUUAGCUUUGAGAGCAGGCCUGAUGUAUGCCUUCUACUGGUUCUGCAAAAGACGACCUCAGAGCCCUGGAUGCUUGGUGGCCCAGAUGCAGAAACUCAGCCCCCUGAGAACGCUCACCCAGCAGAAUCCCGUCUGUCUCCCUAGCUCUGUCUUGGCUUUGAUCUCCCCUGGUUGAUGUGGAAAGGCUCCUUUUCCCCCUCCCCUUUGACUUAGCCUUAUAAUGCAAAGCCAUAGAAAUGCAUGCUGCAGGGGAGAAGUUUGGACACCUAGGAAUGUAGAAGAGGGUUUAGCUUGUGUAAUGAGUUUUCUUUCUCAUUUAAAAUGCUCAGAGAGAAGUGCAGAUGUUUCAUCUCUGCUCAGCGAGUUCCACCACCUGUUUACACAAGCCUGUCCUCUGCAGCCUCAGAAAGGGCUUCUUGCCUUCUUCAGAGUGUGACGGCACAACCUUGGCACUGGCUUUCCAAGCAGACACAGUGUUCAGGCCUCAUGCCUCCUUUCCACUUAUGUGGCAGGAGGGUGAUAGUUCAGAACAAAUAAUUUCAGACAAUGCUUUGUUUAGAACCAUUGCGUGAGGCUGUUUAGAACACGAACAUGCCAUCACACUCUGAAAAGAUAGUGGUGCAGAGGCCACCCAUCGGGGUUGUAAACCUGGUCCCUGUCAGGGCUCUCUUUCACUGGAGUAAACAAUUCCUUUUCUUUUCUUUUCUUUUCUUUUUUAAUGGCUGCAGCCUCAGCAUGUGGAAGUUCCUGGGCCAGGGAUUGAAUCUGAGCUGCAGCUGUGACCUGUGCCACAGCUGCGGCAACGCUGGAUCCUUAACCCACUGCACCUGGCUGGGGAUCCAUCUCACGCCUUCCCAGCAACCCAAGCUGCUGAAGUUGGAUUAUCAACCCACUGCACCUCAGUGGACCUCCUGGAGUAGAUAAUUCUUAGUCUGCGGAAAGAGAUAAAACAAUGAAAGCCAGUAAAAGGAAAACAGAACCAGGAGUCAACAGUUAACCAGAGGGCCGAUUUAGGAGAAUUCUCUGUAUUUCCUUAGACUUUUACAGCCAUCUAAGCAUAUAUGUGAACCUUGGCUUUGGCCAGUAAGUGUUCCAAUGGCAUGUGAAUAAAAACUUCUUUCUCCUGUUGUUUCACUAUCAGCGUGUUUUAUGUGGGGAAAAAUGUAUGUUCUAGAACUUGCUCCCCUCCUCACUUACGAUCUCACUGCAUUAAUAUUAAGCUUCAUUAUUCCCAUUUAUUAUAUUAGAGGCUUAUUGCUUAAUUAAAAAAACUGAGUUGUAUUUGAACUUUAAUUGGACUAUUAGCUUUUUUUUUUUUUUUUUUUUGGUCUUUUUGCCUUUUCUAGGGCCAUUUCCCGCAGCAUAUGGAGGUUCCCAGGCUUGGGGUCUAAUCGGAGCUGUAGCUGCCGGCCAGAGCCACAGCCACAGCAACGCAGGAUCCUUAACCCACUGAGCAAGGCCAGAGAUCGAACCCGAAACCUCAUGGUUCCUAGUCAGAUUCAUUAACCACUGCACCACGAUGGCAGCAACUCCAUGGACUAUUAGCUUUUUAAUAAGUUACAUUUAGGAGUUCUCCUGUGGCUCAGCAGGUUAAGGAUCAGGCAUUGUCACUGCAGUGGUUUAGGUCACUGCUGUGGUGUAGGUUCGAUCCCUGGCCUAGGAACUUCUGCAUGCCAAGAAUGCCACCAAAAAAAAAAAAAAAAAAAAAAAAAGAGAGAGAGAGAGAAAAUAAACAAUACCAUUUACUGUCUACUGGUGAGGGCUCAAACCGUUUAAUUUAUUACUGCAUCUGUUUGUCCAUUGAAAGGAACAAAAAACUGACCCAGCAGAGACUGAACUUGGUGGCUAUGCUCUUCUGAGUGUGGGUGGGGGGAUGGCCCCGUGGGAUCCAAGGUAUGUUUCAUGGGGAGCACAGGAAGAGACCAUCAAACAUGGGACACUACAGUCUGUGUCUAAAUGCUAGAAUCGGUUUUCCUCCAUGGUCCCUGGAACCGGCAGCAUGGGUGGGAAUAGCUUAGCGACCACGUGGUCCUGUGUUGCAGCGAAAGCAGGUCUGGCAUGGAUUUUCUCCGGUGAUGCCUGUGAACCGGCUGGUGAAGACUUCCAAGUGGAGAACAUUACAUACUGAUUCAGAGAAAUGUUGCAUAUGAAAAUUAGGGCCCUUUCCUAUAUGGAGGGGGCAGAAAGUGUGUGUUGAUAAACAGUGUGUUUGAUGUGGAUGACACUUGGUUUCCUGGUGAUAAUAAAGUGUGCUUGGUCAAAUUGGCUUCUGUUUUUGAUAAAAAUGAGCUUCCAAAAGGCCAUUCUGGCUCAUGCGCCAUGGGAAAGAGGUUUCAGCAAGGAGUUUCUGUGUGUUUCCCCACAGCACUAGCACUGCUCUGGUCAUUCCGUCCCUGGGGGCUUGGCACUGAAGAAUGAAAGCGUGAGUGAACUCAGUCUUUGUCCUCAAGGAGCAUGUGGUCUGACGGGACAUCCAGGACAGCUGCUUAGAAGGGUGGGACUAAAGGUGGUGGGGACCUCUGGUCUUGGAGCCAAAGACCUCAGAAAACAGGGCAGGAAAACCAUUCAUCUGGGGACUCACGAACAUGUGAGCCGACUUACGUAGGUGGCAUCUGAGCUCAUCCCUGAAGAAUACAUAUUUUAUAAACAGAGAUGGAAGAGGUAGAGGGUACAAGAAAAGUGAUGAUGUGCAGAGCAUGUUCAAGGCAGGUUAAUGAAUGUUUUUGGAGAGCCUGGUCUGUGCAUGGAGCUCCAUUUGAGUGAAAGGAAUGAGGUUGGAGCUUGAUACAGCACCAGGCAGCAUUCCCAGUACUAGUCUUCACUCCUUACAAAAUUAUGGCAAAUGAUAAACCUUGUUUUUAAUUGCGUUACUUUAUUUGAUCAGGACAACAACCCGAUGAAGUAAGAAUCAUUAUUGUUCUCAAGUUACAGAAGAGGAAACCGAGAUGCUUGCAGUGAAGUGACUUGCUUAGAUUUACACAGCAGGUGUGUCAGACUCUGGAGCUUGUGUUUGUCGCUGGGCCUACGUGCUGCCACUUCUCACCCUGAGGUGCAGUGGUUCACCUGUCUGCUCAUCUCUCCAGUAGGGUGUGAGCAGCUUGUGAGCAGGGAUGUGGCUUAGUCCUCUUGGUCCCCCUGUCAUCGAGCAAACUGUCCCGCAUGUGGUCUGAGGUCGGUAAAUAUAGGCUGAGUCCAAAUAUGUGCUAUGGAGAUUGGAAGGAGGGAGUGAGCACAUCUUCUGGGUUUAGAGGGACAGCUCAGGGAAGGUUAGGGAGGGCACUUCUGGGUGAGAGAAGAACACAAGAUGGCUGGAGUGGGUCCGAGCGAGGGCUGUGCAGGGAAUGAAGGAUGCCACCAUCCCUUGGGCACGAGCGUGGGAUGUGGAUAGGGAUCUGGAGGUGAUGCUGAGGAGAUAGGUGUGGCCAGUGGUCACGGAUCCUUAACCCACUGAGAGAGGCCAUGAAUCCUCAUGGGUACUAGUUAGGUUUGUUACCACUGAGCCAUGAUGGGAACUCCUACCAACAUUUAUUGAGCAACUUAAGUGUACCACAUUCUGUAGCUAGAGAGGCAAAUAAGGAUUGCUCACAGACUAAUGCUCUCAUCUGUAUGUUGCGUUGUUGGUGUCCAUUGCUGGGGGAAGACUCACGGGGUGAUGGGGACCCAGGCCAGCCCUUGGCAUUCAGGGGCUAUGCAAGGACCAGCCCAUGGACUGACAGUGAUUCUCUGAUCCCGAGUUGCUGACUGGUAUGGUACCAAAGAUCUGCUCUCUGGGUGUUUGCAACUGAGCUAAGCAACUGAAAAAUCCAGUUUUUUGGUAAAGGUAAAGGAAGAUAAAGCAUGACAGACAGAAGAGGAAACAGGUUAAUCAUCCUAUAAAUCAAACCCCUGCCAUCUGUGUCAUUUGUGAAUGUGACCUAACUUUUCAGAAAUGGAAAAUUUGGGAGUUCCCAUUGUGGCUCAGCAGGUUAAGAACCAGACAUAGUCUCCAUGGGGAUGCUGUUUGAUCCCUGGCCUUGCUCAAUGGGUUAAGGAUCUGGUGUUGCCACAUGCUGCAUGUAGGUCACAGAUGUGGCUCGGAUCUGGUGUUGCUGUGGCUGGGGAGUAGAUUGGCAGCUGCAGCUCUGCUUCGACCCCUAGCCUGAGAACUUCCAUAUGCUGCAGGAAAUGGAAUGGAAAAAAGAAAUGGAAAAUUCCUUCUAAAUCUUCAUAGGAUUACACCUCUUCAAUGUCUCCUACCUGGGCAUGGUCAGGAGUGAGGUCUGGAGACCAGGCGUUUAGGAGGUAGGCUUGGAUGUAUUGGCCUUUCCUGUUCAGCCAGUGCUGAGGCUGAGCUUUGAAGGUAGGUGUUAGGAUGGGCCGUCUCUGAGAGGACCCCAGAGAAUAAAGAGGCAACACCACUUUCUUUCGCACAGAGUCAAGAAGGUUACCCUAAAACUCAGGACUCACCUUGACCCUGCUCUGCCUGUGUGAAAAGUUGUCAUUGAUCAGAGAAUGGUGGACCAGUUUCCCUCAGAGAUGGGCUUUUGUCAUGAAGCUGAUUAUUAUUGUUGUAUUACUCAGAGUUCAGCUCUUAGAAAAUUAGAGCAAGUGGGCUCCAAGGCCAAACCUUUGCUAAUCAUUUCUUUUUGGGAUUAGACUCUCUAGGUGUUAACCAGUCCCCAGGGAACCUGCCUUCUGCACUGGCAUCCCUGUGUGAGGAAUGGUACCCACCCAGGCUCUGUUAAGCCUGAGUUUGCCAGGAUCUGGAUUCCAGGGGCCAUUUGUGUCCCCAUUCAUCUUUCUGUGAGACUUGGCCAGUGAUACACUGACCUGAUUUCUGAUGAUCUUCAGCUGCUCAGAGUGGAAUCCGUUGUGGUCAGGCAAGGAUGGAGCUGACAGGAAGAAACCCAGCCUGGGCAUCCAGGGAGCAGAAGUAAAGGGUCAGGACCAAGGAGGAGUGGGCAGAACCAUGAAGGCCAGGCUCUGAGUGGUCCUAGGUCCGCACACACGGCCCUGCUCAUGAGUCUGGCACAGAGAUGCCUAUUAACCAUGACAGUCCUGGAGCCAUAUUGGAAGCCAAAGGAAGGUUGGAGGCCCACCCUGCUGCUGACUGGAGCAGAGGAUACUGGAGAUGCUGGAAUUAUCUGACCUUGUGAGAAUCAACUUUGUCCUGAAAAUUGGCAGAUGGGGCUGGUGGCCAGGCCUGGGUGCAGACAAAACACACAAAGUGGGGUCUCCCAGGUUGGCUGCUUGCCCCAUGCUUUGGGGCCAUGCCUAAAGCUAAGUAGUCACAGCUCUGUUAAAUGAAGUCGGCUGAACGUCUUGUCUUAGCCAGAUGGAACCGAACACCUGGGUGUCUGCCAAGACCUCACCUGCUCAGGUCAAGAAGCUCCCCCCAACCCCCCAAGGGGCAUGGCUCUGUGAGAUGCCCCCAUGGGUGUCCUGAUGGGGGUAGGCGCUUCCUUGCAUUUGGUCGAGAGAGGGCAGUUCUGCUUGUUGGUCCUCAGGAUUCCAGAUAGGAGCGAUUCAGGGUAUGGCAAAGCAAAGGCUGCUUUCUGGUGUGUUUGCAUUACUUCCAGUUUCUAAAUUUCAGCUUGAAGAUAAUGAUAUUAAUACUCACCACUAGCAAAUGUUAGGCUCUUAUUCCCUGUAUAUUUACACGUUUAUGCUUCCUAACAACUUGUGUGGCGGACCUGGUCGGUUGUUUUGGCAGAGAAAGGAAGAGGAGGAAGCUGAAGUACCAGGAGGCAAAGUGACUUGCUAAGGACAAUCGGUUAGUGAGUGUCCAGGCCAGGAUUCACCCCCAGGCCCACUAGCUCCAGAGCUGAACCCCAGCUCAAUGUCACCAAUGGUGUCAACCACCUUGAGGAUGGGGCUGGGUUGACACCUGUUGAUUUUGCUGGUGAAAUUGCCAACCUUCUCAACCCUUGAAAAGUCUGAGAAGUGCAACCUUAUCCCAAGGGCAUGUCUUCUAGUUUGCUGAAUUUUUAAGAGGAGGUUGUACUUUCUCUUUUACAACAGGCUUUCUUGCCUGGAUGUGGGAGACGGUGAGGGCUCGUAGAACUGGUCUCUCUCCCAAACCCUCCUGAGACUCAGAUGCUCUGCCAUGUUCCCCUUUCACCUGUCAAGCGGUGUGUGUCUCUGUAGCCAGAGCCAGAGAGCAGGGCCAGACUGGACAGGGCAGGUGGUUGUUCUGAGGCCACUCCCCAGGUGGCCCCCAUGCAGCCUUCCCAGUCACCAGCCCAAGGUCACUGUGGAGAUGGCCAUGUGAGGAGGGAAGGAGAAAGUAGGGGAGGAGGUGAUGUGGGCUCAGGGCUGACUGGCCCAGGCCGCCAAGCCUUCGUCCUGCUUGGUUUAAAAGUCUAGACUUGGGUGUCACAUGGAUCCUGGUGUCCAUCUUGGCUUUGCCUUUUAGAAGCCUGGGAUCAAGUAGAUCCUUCACAAAUGUAGUUUCUAACUGUGUCGUGGUCAGGCAGGCAGAUGUUAGGGUCCGAUGCCUGGGGUCACUAGUGAGCCAUGUCGCCUGAGACACUUGCCUCUCAGCAGGACCAGCUGUAUAACUUGCAAGGGCCAGUGCAAAGUGAAAAUGCAAGCCCCUUGUUCAAAAACUAAGAAUUUUAAAAUGGUGACUUAAACCAAGUGUAGGGCCUUUCUGAGUGCAGGGACUAUGCAGAUGGUACUCAGGUUUCUUCAUCUAUAAAAGGGGAUCAUUGUAUAUUCCUCACAGGUUGUUGUGAGGUUUAAAAAAGAUAAUAGAGGAGUUCCCAUUGUGGCACAGCAGUAAUGAAUCUGACUAGUAACCAUGAGGUUGCGGGUUCGAUCCCUGGCCUCGCUUAGUGGGUUAAGGAUCCAGUGUUGCUGCGAGCUGUGGUGUGGGUCACAGGUUUGGCUUGGAUCCCGAGUUGCUGUGGCUCUGGUGUAGGCCGGCAGCUACAGCUCUAAUUUGACCCCUAGCCUGGGAACCUCCAUAUGCUGCAGGUAUGGUCCUAAAAGAAAAAAAAAAAAGAUAAUAGAGCAUGAAAAACAUUAGGCUGCAGGUAAAGGGCUGGGUAGGUGUUAGUGUACUUUAAUCUGUGCAGUAUCAGAAAUGCACAGCCUCUUUUUGAGCCAUUGGCAAAGGACUGUGGACAGAGAAGGGAGCCUUAGUAAUGACACCUGAAAAUUAUGAGAAAUUUGAAUUUUAGUGUCUAUGAAGUUUUAUUGGAGCAGAGCCAUGCACACUCAUUUCUGUAGCUUCUAUGGCAGAGUUGAGUAAUCGCAUAUAUGGUUACAAAAAAGUUUGCUGACCUCUAAGCUGUAGAAUAAAAUUAGGCUUCUGGGCAUGGCAGCUAAGGCCCCUAUCCCCGUCGUCAGCCUGCCUCCCUGCCCCCUUCACUUCUUCUCCCUUUAUGCUCUUAAGAACCCACAACUGCUUCAAGGUCCCCUGCACAGUUUUCACCUCCGUGCUGAUCCCUUCUCUUUAUCUUUUUCCUUUCCUUGGCUGGACAUCACUGACCCAACCCUGCAGAAAUCACCUCCUCCAGGAGGCCUUGCCAACCUAUGUCUCUGGUUUAGAAGCUCUCCUCUCUGGGACUUAACUGUUUCAAUAGGAAAAAUACAGAGAAGCUCAACAGCUUGGGGGCAGGGAGCUCAGCACAAGGGAAGCAGGGCCUGGGGCGGCAGUGGCUCACCCAGUCAGCAGAUGUGGAUGGGGUGGCUGGGACUCACCACGCACUCUGGAUGUGGAGACGCAGACUCACAGACAUGGGUUCUGUCCCCAGGGGCUUCCAUUCCAGCGGAGGAGGCAAUGAACACGUGCACGAACACACAUAUGAAAAAGAGUGUCCAGCCCUCGUUAGUGCUCUGCUAAAGGGGUAGGAUUGGUGAAGGGGAGGGGUGGGUGAUCUGGAUGAAGAGGCCAGGAGGGCCUCCAGGAGGUGGCAUCUAAGUCCUGAAUGAGGCAGAGCUCGGCAGAGCCAGACGCUCUGGAGCAAGAAGGGAAGAGAAGUUCUCUUCUAAUGCUAUCUCUGCAUUUGUGCUCUUCAGCCGCAGGAGAUGGGGAGAGGGAACAGGUGCUUCUUCCCAGAAGCCCUGAAAGUCACACCAGGCUCUCAAGUCAGGGCCCUCCCUUGUGGCCGGGCUGCACCUUCCUUUAGGCCCCUCUCUAGAGCCUCCUGGCAUUUAUUUCAGCCACAGCACUUAAGCAGCAGCCCCUUCUGAGAUCCGUGAAAUGGCUGGAGGGACUUCAGCUGCAGAUUUGGUACCUCUCCAUUUUGAGAGGCCAAACUGAAACCCAGAGAAGUCGGGUCCCUUGGUUACUGGGCUCAUCAAGGGGCAGAGCCAGGACCAGAAUCCUGGUCUCCUGACUCCCAGAGAUCCCUCAUCUUUUGACUUUGCUGGGAGAUACCAGGAGAAACCAGUCCUCAGGAUUGAGAUAAGGCCAGUAGAGGCCAUUGGGAAACCUUUGGGUCCACACACCACCCAAGAGAAAGGCCCUCUGGCCAAGACGGGCUUCUUCCUUGAAGAGGGUCCUCCUGUGUAUCACCGUGCUCUUUCCAGAGGAGGCCAGAGGCACUGUCCGGAGCUGCUGGCCCCUCAUCCCACCAGUUUAAUUUAGCUCCAGUCCUUCUGGAGGCUGUGCUAAUUAUAGCCCACUGGCCAUGCUGGGAGCUAUAAAUAGGGUGGGAAGCACCUGUUUGGUUAUUAGUAGGCAUUUAUCAAGGUACCUACAAAGGAUUUGGCCUUUAGGGUGUGCCUCCGGUGGGCAUAGAAAGCACCUAGAAACCUUGAACUUCCCUCUUCAUUAAUAGGUUAGAGAAAGCCAGCCUGAAUGGUGGAGGGCAGGGUCAAGAGCAUGAUUUGGGAAAUAGGCUGUGAAAGUUCAAAUCUUGGCUUUCACAACUGUGAGACCUUGCAAACGCUACUCAAACUCUCUGUCCUUCAGUUUUUCUUCUUUAUAAAUCAAGGUCUCAGUAAUAUGUAUAUAAUGAGGAUGUUAUACUAUUAAGUGAGUGUAUACGUAAUAUAUUAAAUGUAUGCAGAUUCAUAUAAGCAUAGAAUCAUCAUAACACAUUCUAUUAUAUAAUUAUAUAUUUAUAUGUAAAUAAUCUGCCUAUAAUGGAUAUAUUAUGUGUGUGUGUGUAUAUAUAUAUUUCUUAUACCUGGUAUCUUAGGUGUAAGAAAAUUAUUUAUUGUUUAUUAUUGUAUGAAAUGGCAUGAGGGCAGUCCGUACACCAUCUGCCCAGGAGUGACGGUCUUUUGUGGAAACCUUGAUCUUGGACGAGCACUGAGCCUAGGGCCCUCCCAGCCUUUGUUGACACAGUGCUGUGUGGCAGUUGAGUGGAGGUUAAAUUUCACUUCUGAUACGUCCCAUCUAUAAUUCAUCUGUGAUUCUCCAUUCUUUAUCAGUAAAGGGGGCACCAGAAUAAGGAGCAUUUCAUGUGGCUUUGGCAGGCUUCAAUGAGCUAAUGCCUGUAGAGCGCUUAACACAGUCUCUAUUAACGGAAUUAGUCAUUGUUAAUACUCCUCUUCUCGGAUGACUUUGGCUAUGAGGCAGCAUCUCCAGGCUAAUGUAGUUAUGUCCCCUGGGGAAUGGGGCUGGUGCCUUAGUGGGCAGAGGGCAGCCGUCCCGAGACGCCCCAGCCUGAAGCUGGGAGGCCAGUUGUCUUCCUUGGCUGGCCUCUGGUCCAGCUGUUAGCACCCUCCUUCUGGGCCCCAGGGUUCCUUCUCUUAACAAUGCUGUUUGCUUCCUGUGUCUCUGUCCUUGUGUCCCAGCUGAGUUCUGAGUGUCUAACCCUGGGCAUAGCACUUAGUGGGCCUCCGGGAGGGAGGACAAGAUACCUGGGAGCUUUCCCAGAGAGGAGCUAUAUUUGCUUUAUCCUAUGCCGCAAAGCAAGGAGGUCAGUGGGAGUGUCAAGGAGGCUGAUCUCUGUUAGGGAAAGGGUGAGUUGCCUGUCCCUGAGCCUGCUUGAAGGGAGAGGCUUGGGCAGAACGCUGGCCUGGGAGUUAGGCAUGCUAGUCCAGACCUGCAGCAUGGGUGCCCGUUCAGACCUACUGAACUCCUGUCUGAUUUUAGCAAGACGCCCUGCUGUGCACGUGGAAGUCGGAGGAGCCCUCUGUAGACCAGUGAGUGGUCCUUAAGCCAGGCAUCACUCUUCCCAAUCCCCAACUGAGAAAACUCAGGCUAUUAUGGGCUUUGAGCCUUGGUUUUCAAAGUUCUGCUUCUCUCCCUGGGUCACCGGGCAGCACUGAUAUUUUCCUGGACCAGCAGCAUCGUCCUCACCUGUUAGAAAUGGAAAUCCUCAGGCCCCGCCCCAGAGCCAGGGAAUGAGAACCUCUGGGAUGGAACCAGGGUGCCGGGUUAACCAACCCUUUAGGCUGCUUGGAAGCCCUAACUAGAUUGAUAGCCGGGAAUACUGGCUGUCAGCCCCGACUACACUCUGGAAUCACUUGGGAAGAUAAACCAAGGAAAUGCCUAGGUCAUGAAGAGCAUUGUGACAGGGUGUGACAAGGAUGUUGGGAAAGUCAGAGACACAGUGAUUCUCCUGUGCAGCCAGGAUUGAGACCAGUUCUUUAGGCCCAUGGGAUGAGCCUCAGUUUUCUCUGCUGUAAAUUGGGUAGAAUCGGGUAGACUAACCUGUUUGCCUGGGACAAACAGGGAAGCUGAAAGGGCCAGGGACCUGGAAAAGCACAUGGGAGACAGGCUUCCGUCUGUCAGGAAGGGUGCACCUGGGAUUCCGGUGCUGAGCGAGGCUGGAUUGGGUGCCCACUCAUGGCUUCAGGGGUAGAAGAGUAACGUGGUGCCUGGCUGAUCCAAGUACUAAGUGCUAUAAAGAGGGUACCCUGCUUGCUGCAGUAUCUCUGCUUGGGGAGUGAGAUUGCUGGUUAAUUGGGAGCCCAGUGCAAGCUGCCCACUGGCUGCCCCCAGUGCCUAAUCCUGGAGCUCGCUUUUGGUGGAGUCCUUUGCACAGUUUUGGGGAGACGAUGGGCUGCUCCAUCCCAGGUUCCCUUGGAUUAGAAUGGUGGGGCUGUUGGGGAACUGGGCCCCCUUGCUCUGAGCAUUGGUGGUGGCAAGAAUGAGGUUUAGAGAAAUAUUUACCCAAAGUAAUCCCUCUGCUAUGCCACUGCCCGUCUCCCAGGAAGCUGGGUAACAAACACAGAGUUCUGGUCUAAUUUAUGAAGGGAAUGAGCUGGGUCUUCUAAGGUCUGGGACGAGGCAGGGAAAAGGGUGGUGGUUAUUGGCCCUGAAGUGGCCAGCAUCUCAGGCUCAUGAGAAAAUAGCCCUUAGUUCCAACUACAAAAGUUGCAUGUAUACCACACACUGCAUUCAAAAGCGUCCUGAAACACCAGACGUGGGAUUCGAUCAUAAUCUAAUGUUAAAACCGGGGUUCAUGACGCUCCCAUGUGCUUGGAGGGGCUGCUCUAAGGGGUACCUUGUGUGAUCUUCAGUGACCCCCCCCCAUGAGCCAUGUAUCAUGAUCCCUCCUGUUUAACAUGAGCAGUUGCUUCUCAGGGGUCUGUGAGGGUCAACCUUUGCAUCUCAUGAUGGGAAAACCAAGACCCAGAGGUUAGGUCUGUACCCAGGGGUCAUAGUGUGAAAGCUGCCGAGACCAAAUUAGAAGCCAGGUCCUAAUCGUUAACGCACAUUUUGAAAAACAAAGGGUUUUUAGCAAAACCCCUUGAUUCCCAGUUGGGAAUGACUUAAGACAGAGUGCCUGGAUUAUAUAACACCGGAAAGAUAAUUCACAGGGCAUUUGUUCUGAAAAGUUUGACAGGAAAUCAUCUAACAGCAUAUGCUUAGGCUUCCAGGAGAGCUGUUCUCUGGCUCUCUCUGCCUCACUUGCAUCAUCAGGGCCUGCUUCACCUCCAUGGCACUCACCUGACUGGCCUUCCUAUGUGCUUGACCCAGGCCCAGCUAAUAAUUGUUCUAACUUUAGCUACCAUGGUACUUUAUCAAAGGGGUGUGGCUCUCACUGGUUUCCCUGGUAACUGAUGAGCCAACCUGAUGUCAGUUCCCCAUAUAAGGGGCAGUUCUCCCCGUCCGUGGGAGUGAAGACUGCCGCCAUGUUCUGUCUCCACCCUUUGUCGCAGGUGUUGCGCUGCGCCCUUGCUUCAGACGUAAAGAAAAGGGAAUAAUGACUGUUCUUACCACCUGGACCACCUUCAUUCUAUUCCAAAAGACAGUGCUCACAAUCCAUUUAAGUAGAUUUCAUGAUCAACCAGUGGGCUAAGUCCUGCCAUUUGGGAAUGACUGGUGUGGCCCAGCUCCCACCUUGAACCAGAGGAGGCCAAACCUGCUUCAACAUCACAUAUUGCUUCUUCACAAAUCUGAGAUGAGGAUCCAGCUUUACUGAGAGCCAGCCUGUGCCGGGCCUGCCGUCGUACCUGAGAGAGACUCUGUUAGGAACCUUCUGGAGCCACUGGUGGACUUGUUCUGUGGUUUUAUGCCCACUCCUUCCCUCCUUGUAUGGACACACUGCAAACCUGAGGCUCCCAGGUCUGGCCAGGCUCUCUCUCGCCAUCGCCUGUCCCAGUGCUUUUGUGCCUCUCUGGUCAAUGUUCUUUUCUGCCCCUCUGAGAACCAGAUCACAGAUGUUGAAACAGUCCUGAGGAUUUCGGGGAUGGUCGAUCUCGGUGGUAUUAGGAAAGAGAACUCCUUGAUCUGGGUCUACAACUCCUCACUCACCCCUCACUCACAAUUCCAAAAUCUCCAAAGCUCUGAAAAGUCGGGGUUUCCAUAAUUCACAUGGAGGCAAACCUGCCCUGAACCGAUGUAGGGCUGGUAAUGGUCCUUGUUCAUCCCAAUUCAGUCUGGAGAGCCACAUGUCUCCCUGCAGAAAUGGGAGCAUGUGGGCCACAGGUACACCUGGUUAAUUUUCUAAAACCUGAAAUAGUCAGAAUUGUAAAACAUAUCGGGCCUUGGGUUUGGGUAAGGGAUGGUGGACCUGUAGAUGUAUUCAGUGUGUGUGAGUGUUACUGAUUAAUCAGUAAAUGUUAAUGGAAAGGAAGUGGUAGAUGAUUGAAAGUGCAGAGGCCCAGUUAUCAGAAAGCUGCCUGUUAAUAGCUGUGCAGUGAAUGUCGGAGGGUUUUGUGGGGGUGAAGAGUGACGGCUCUCAAAGCGCUUGGGAAACUAGACUGGUCUAUAACAUACUGUAUAAGAUGUUUGGUGUGGUCUGGGUUCUUCAGGAAACUGAAUUGUAAUC